UACGGGAGGCAGCAGUGGGGAAUAUUGCACAAUGGGCGAAAGCCUGAUGCAGCUAUGCCGCGUGUAUGAAGAAGGCCUUAGGGUUGUAAAGUACUUUCAUCGGGGAGGAAAAAACAAAACUAAUAAUUUUAUUUCUUGACGUUACCCGAAAAAGAAGCACCGGCUAACUCCGUGCCAGCAGCCGCGGUAAUACGGAGGGUGCUAGCGUUAAUCAGAAUUACUGGGCGUAAAGAGCACGUAGGUGGUUUUUUUAAGUCAGAUGUGAAAUCCCUGGGCUUAACCUAGGAACUGCAUUUUGAAACUGAAAUACUAGAGUAUCGUAGAGGGAGGUAGAAUUCUAGGUGUAGCGGUGAAAUGCGUAGAUAUCUGGAGGAAUACCUGUGGCGAAAGCGGCCUCCUAAACGAAUACUGACACUGAGGGUGCGAAAGCGUGGGGAGCGAAACAGGGAUUAGGAUACC
This 459-nucleotide ribosomal RNA is filed under the name uncultured bacterium. Its description in RNAcentral is "bacterial SSU rRNA". It matches the Rfam family "Bacterial small subunit ribosomal RNA", at positions 340 to 786 of the family's 1533-position model. The record is from RNAcentral.